CUGGUUGAUCCUGCCAGAGGUUACUGCUAUCGAGGUUCGACUAAGCCAUGCGAGUCGAAUGUAGCAAUACAUGGCGAACUGCUCAGUAACACGUGGACAACCUGCCCUUAGGACGGGGAUAAACCCGGGAAACUGGGCAUAAUACCCGAUAGGUCUCGAUUGCUGGAAUGCAUCGAGAUUUAAAGCUCCGGCGCCUAAGGAUGGGUCUGCGGCCUAUCAGGUAGUAGUGGGUGUAGCGUACCUACUAGCCUACGACGGGUACGGGUUGUGAGAGCAAGAGCCCGGAGAUGGUUUCUGAGACACGAAUCCAGGCCCUACGGGGUGCAGCAGGCGCGAAAACUUUACAAUGCUGGCAACAGCGAUAAGGGAACCUCGAGUGCCAGGUUACAAAUCUGGCUGUCGAGAUGCCUAAAAAGCAUUUCAUAGCAAGGGCCGGGCAAGACCGGUGCCAGCCGCCGCGGUAACACCGGCGGCUCGAGUGGUAACCGUUAUUAUUGGGUCUAAAGGGUCUGUAGCCGGCCGGAUAAGUCUCUUGAGAAAUCUGGCAGCUUAACUGUCAGGCUUUCAGGAGAUACUGUCUGGCUCGAGGCCGGGAGAGGUGAGAGGUACUUCAGGGGUAGGGGUGAAAUCUUGUAAUCCUUGAAGGACCACCAGUGGCGAAGGCGUCUCACCAGAACGGACCUGACGGCAAGGGACGAAAGCUAGGGGCACGAACCGGAUUAGAUACCCGGGUAGUCCUAGCCGUAAACGAUACUCGCUAGGUGUCGGCCACGGUGCGACCGUGAUUGGUGCCGUAGGGAAGCCGUGAAGCGAGCCACCUGGGAAGUAUGGCCGCAAGGCUGAAACUUAAAGGAAUUGGCGGGGGAGCACUACAACGGGUGGAGCCUGCGGUUUAAUUGGAUUCAACGCCGGA
Molecule: ribosomal RNA, 913 nt
Filed under: uncultured archaeon
Lineage: Archaea
Description: bacterial SSU rRNA
Rfam family: Archaeal small subunit ribosomal RNA
Source: RNAcentral